GUAGUCCACGCCCUAAACGAUGUCAACUAGUUGUUGGAGAAGGAGACUUCUUUAGUAACGCAGCUAACGCGCGAAGUUGACCGCCUGGGGAGUACGGUCGCAAGAUUAAAACUCAAAGGAAUUGACGGGGACCCGCACAAGCGGUGGAUGAUGUGGAUUAAUUCGAUGCAACGCGAAAAACCUUACCUACCCUUGACAUGCCAGGAACUUGCCAGAGAUGGCUUGGUGCUCGAAAGAGAACCUGGACACAGGUGCUGCAUGGCUGUCGUCAGCUCGUGUCGUGAGAUGUUGGGUUAAGUCCCGCAACGAGCGCAACCCUUGUCAUUAAUUGCCAUCAUUUAGUUGGGCACUUUAAUGAGACUGCCGGUGACAAACCGGA
Molecule: ribosomal RNA, 379 nt
Filed under: uncultured bacterium
Lineage: Bacteria
Description: bacterial SSU rRNA
Rfam family: Bacterial small subunit ribosomal RNA
Source: RNAcentral